CAGUCGCCGCGGGAAUACGUAGGUCCCGAGCGUUGUCCGGAUUUAUUGGGCGUAAAGCGAGCGCAGGCGGUUAGAUAAGUCUGAAGUUAAAGGCUGUGGCUUAACCAUAGUACGCUUUGGAAACUGUUUAACUUGAGUGCAAGAGGGGAGAGUGGAAUUCCAUGUGUAGCGGUGAAAUGCGUAGAUAUAUGGAGGAACACCGGUGGCGAAAGCGGCUCUCUGGCUUGUAACUGACGCUGAGGCUCGAAAGCGUGGGGAGCGAACAGGAUUAGAUACCCCAGUAGUCCCUGUCUCUUAUACA
RNAcentral lists this ribosomal RNA (301 nucleotides) under uncultured bacterium. Its description in RNAcentral is "partial 16S ribosomal RNA". It matches the Rfam family "Bacterial small subunit ribosomal RNA", at positions 509 to 808 of the family's 1533-position model. The record is from RNAcentral.